CUAGAAAAAUGGGUUAAAUUAACCCAAAUACCUCAUAUUUACUACUGAUAUGCAUCUCCUUCACCCUCUUUCUGUAUUUACUGUUUGGAAUGGCAUACAUGAAUGCAAAGACAUGAAUGAGGGUCACCAGAGACAACAGUGGGCUCUGUCCAGUCUGUCCAGGGAGUGAGCUGAGAAAGGGUCGUGGUCAGGCGUUGGACAGGUUGUGUCAACACCAUCACACUGAUGUGAAACUUCUUUCAGAGCUAGUCAACAUAAGCCCUGGUUACUCCUGUACAUGAGGGCGAUCUCUCACAUGAUUUAAUUUUGAGUGUGAUGUUUGUGGGUUUUUAUGAACAACAGAAUUUGAGGCAAUGUCUGUAAGCAGUUAGAAAGUGUGAUCCCGGUUACAGCUCUUGUAACAUGAGAGAUCAGUGAUAUACAAGAUCAGGUAUACAAGCAUCUGCUGCACCCUGCUGUGAGAAGAAUUUAUAGUUAAGUUUAAGUUUAUUUACUUUAUUAAUCCCCCUGAGGUGAAAUUCAAUGCCAAAUUUAAGUGUCUUUACUGCCAGCUGAUUUAUGUUUACCUCAAAGACCCCUGUCCUUUGACACUUGAGAUGGACAAUAUUGGAUUUUUUCCCCAAUAUAUAACAACUUAUUUGGCCGACAACUGAAAUGUAUACAUCCACAGACACAUCAUAGUCCAGUGAGCUAUAUUUAGUUUUAAAAAGCUGUACAUCAAAAUAUAUUACACACUGAAUGCCAUAUUCAGUUAAUCAUCCUAGGUAUACCAUUGAAUAAAUGUGCAUCUGCAGUUUUUAGAUUCUUACAUCAAGACUGCCUGAAACUGUGGCAAAUGGUAUUAACCCCCUAAAAAGCUGCAACAACAUAUGAGGCAUAAUUGAGCAUGGGAAUGUCCAGCAUAUACUUCCAUCAUAAUGUCCCAAGUCUCUUUACCUAUAGCUCUGGAGCCGGCUCUUUGGCCCCUCACUAGUGGCUCCCUGUGGCUUUUAAAAGAAUCACAGCGUUUACUUUUUGAAACAUUUUAUUUUUUAUUUAUCAUUUUUGAAGGCCUAAAGAAAUUCUUACAGUCUCUAACUGUAGAAAUGUGUACUUAUAAACAGAAUUUUAAAAAAAGUUUUUAACAUUUUGUCAACUAUAUCUAUGGCCUGAUAACCUUUCCUCUGAAUGUUGCUCGGGUCGUGUCUAAAUGAACCUCAGUAAUUGUAGCUGAUCUUGAAUCACCUUAGUGAGGUUGGCUAUAGACUCUGGGAGGAAACAGACACGUACAGAGGACACUAUGAAUGACACCUCAUCUAUGCAAGCAUAGAACAUACAGCAAGUAUUAAGGUGUCCACGUGAGCCUACGUACACACAAAUACUCACACUUUCAACCAUGGGAAGCAAUAUUAUAAUACAUAUCUUUACAGUUGUUACAGUCACAGUUCUUCCAAAUAAAUCUUGCAUGUUGUGCCGUCCAAUGGACACCACCCAAUCCCCAAACAGGGGGGUCCUGAUCCCCUUAAUAUGACUGGAUGUUGGAGUGUUUUGGGAGAUUUAGACCUAUUAGUAAUGUUGAUAUGUUUUUGAUGCAAUAGUCUGUGUAACCGUCAUAGUAGGACUCAAAUAUGUUUCUUAGGUCCAGACAGAUUUUUUUUUUAAAUGGCUCCUAUGAAAGUAAAGGUUGACCCCUGACCUAUAGCCUACACCCCAAACUCUAGUCUUCUUCAUUAGGGUUAAACAUCCUGUCACCCUCCAAAGAAGACAAAAAAUGGGUGAAAAUGUUUUUGUAGCUGUGUUUGUGACCUUUUCAUGAACCAAGUUAUGUGUUAUAUUUCGUCAUUUGUUACAUCAGCUUUUCUAUGUUUUGUUAAAAACCUGCAAAGUGAUGAUUGCAUUGCUUUUGCCUGACUGACGGGUGUCCCUCUAAUUGGAAACGAGCGCACUGGGCACCGCCCAUCCCAGCGUCAUCUAUCUCGUCUGUCUGUCUACAAACGAAACCUCACACUCCACUCACAGCCAACAAGGUAAGUUUGGAUUUAUUAAUUCAAGACUACUUUUUACAUGACUUCAAAAAAUGUUUUAUUAGAGAGCGUACUAAUUGUGACGGGUAGAAAAAAAAUAAGUACUAAAAACAGGUGAUGAAAAUGCACAUGAGUAAUAAAAUAGAGGUAAAUUGUGAAAUGGGGAAAAAAGUGACCGAUUAUCAGCUUUUUGGAUUAAUUUUAUUUCAUUUGAUUAAAACAUGAUCAUCAUUUCUCCGUCUAACAUUGAUCAUUCAUUAUUCACAAAACAAAAUUGAUCAUGUAAGGGAGGUGGCCUCGAGGGCGGGAGGCACAGAAAUAAUUAGAAACAAAAACGGAAGUAAUGAAUUCCUACAAAUUAAUUAUGGACGUAAUGAAAUAACAGUUGCUUUGAUUAUUAGUUGUGUCCUCAGCCUACCAGUCAUUCACAACACCGAACUGACAUUUAUUGAUUACAGCAGGGGUGUCAAACAUAUGGCCCGUGGGCCAGAACCUUCCAAAGGGUCCAGUCUGGCCCCACUCAUUGGCUCUUAUUCAUGAAAUGUUAGUAAGUCUGUGAGUGUAUUUGCACCUUAAAAACCUCUGCACUAAAAACCUGGGCACCCUGCAUGGUCAAUACUCAGUAGCGCCCCCUUUGGCAGGUAUCACAGCUUCUAAUCACAUUUGUAUCAAGCUCAGAGUCUUUCAAUUCUUGUUUGGAGGAUUUUCACUCAUUCUUCCUGCAAAAGGCGUCUAGCUCUGUGAGAUUCUUUGGCCGUCUUCAUGCACUGCUCUUUUGAGGUCUGUCCACAGAUUUUUAAUGAUGUUUAGGUCGGGGACUGUGAGGGAAACCUUCAGCUUGCACCUUUUGAGGUCGUCCAUUGUGGAUUUGGAGUUUGUUUGUGUAAGGGAACGUGUGUGUCCUCCCGGCUGUGAUGGCAGCAGUAAGAGCCAAGGAGCCAUGGUUUACUGACCAUGUGACUAAGGUGGCACUGCACAUCUCCUGUGAGAAUCUGCCGGAUGUGGAAAUGUUCUCAAAGUGUGACCCUCUGUGUGUGCUUCACAUGAACAGCUCAGGGCCUCACUGGUGUGAGAUUGGCCGGACGGAGAAAAUCAAGAAUUGCCUUAAUCCCAAGUUCUCCAAGACUUUUGUCAUUGACUACUACUUUGAGAUGGUGCAGAAGCUGAGGUUUGAAGUGUACGACAUCGACAAGGAAGACCACAGUCUGCAAGAUGCGGACCUCCUGGGAGAACUGGAGUGUACCUUGGGAGAGAUUGUGUCUUCAAGGAAUCUAACAAGACCACUUGUCAUGACAGACAAGAGACCAGCAGGGAAAGGAACCAUCACUAUAUGUGCUGAAGAAAGAACAGACAACAGGGUGGUGGAAUUCAAAGUUGCUGGUAGAAAUCUGGAUAGAAAGACUUACUUCAGUAAGUCCGACCCUUUCCUGGAAUUCUACAAGGAGACAGAAACUGGAUGGCAGCUCGUGCACAGGACGGAGGUGGUGAGAAACACCCUAAACCCAGUAUGGAGACCGUUCCGUAUCCCAAUGCAGUCACUCUGUGGAGGUGACAUGGAGAGACCUACUAUAAAGGUAGAUUGUUAUGACUACAACAGCAGCGGAUCUCACGACCAUAUUGGAUUAUUUGAGACCACACUCUCUGAAAUGCUGCAGGCAUCACAAGCAUAUGAGGCCAAGAAAAACAGGAUGAAAGGAAUCCCAAACUCUUGUAUUAUCAUUAUUAAACACUGCAAGAUAGUGAAGGAGUAUUCUUUCCUUGAUUACAUAAUGGGCGGCUGUCAGAUUCACAUGACUAUUGGUAUUGAUUUCACAGGAUCCAACGGGGAUCCCAGCUCCCCCAAGUCCCUCCAUUACAUCAACCCUGAGGGCUGUAGCGAGUACCAGGCAGCUAUCCGGGCAGUGGGAAACGUCAUCCAGGACUAUGGCAGUGACAAGAUGUUCCCUGCUUUUGGAUUUGGAGCCCUGAUCCCUCCUUCUGGGCAGGUCAGCCACAAGUUUCCCAUCAACUUCAACCCAUCAAAUCCAUCUUGCGCAGGUAUAGAGGGUGUGCUCCAUGCCUACCAGCAGUGUCUGCACAAAGUGAGGCUUUACGGUCCCACAAACUUUUCCCCAAUCAUCAACCACGUAGCCCAUUUGGGCCGGCAAGCCAUGCAGCAGGAAACUGCCUCUCAAUACUUUAUUCUGCUGAUCAUCACCGAUGGACUGAGCACAGACAUGGAUGAGACUCGCAAGGCCAUCGUCAACGCCUCUCAUCUGCCCAUUUCAAUCAUCUUUGUUGAAUUAGGGAGAGCAGACUUCAGUGACGUUGAGUUCCUGUAUGGAGUUGAUGGAGUUGUACGUACUGCAGCAGGCGAGGCCGCCAUGCGCGACAUUCUGCAGUUUUUGCCUUUCAGGCAGUUCCAGAACUGUCCUCAUGAAGUGCUUGCUCAGAACAUCUUGGCAAAAGUCCCAGCUCAGGUGGCAAGCUUCUUCAAUACCAUGGGUUUGAGGCCAUCCUGCAGUGACAGACCUCCUCCUGACCUCUCAGCAUCUGCCUCCACAGUGAUGUCUCCUGAGGACAACAUGCAACAUCCAGCCUGCAAUAAUGUCGUAUCAGGUACUGGUGAAAUGCAAUCCCACCGGAUUCCUCUCAAGCUAGGAUUUUUAAGAAGACUCAAGAUCAGGACCCUCUCAACCUACAAAUGAUCCCAUUCCUGUUUGGAUCUCUGCCUGAAGCAACUAUCACUACUCAACAUGUUCUACUGACGGGUGUCCCCCUAACUGGAAUCGAGCGCACCAGGCACCGCCCACCGCAGCGCGAGCUCCCUCUCCACGGUUGUGUCACUGCUACACAUCAAACCACACAGGACUCACAGCUAACGUCAGCCAGCUAACAAG
Epinephelus moara (kelp grouper) is the source of this 4882-nucleotide RNA transcript. It is a transcript of the gene named copine-3-like, with no coding region annotated. Lineage: Eukaryota; Metazoa; Chordata; Actinopteri; Perciformes; Serranidae. The record is from RefSeq and is a predicted model, not a curated record. The transcript is spliced from 19 exons.